GGGUGUAUAAUAAUUAACUUUGCAAAGGUUAAGAAGGAUUUUUCAAGUCCUACAUCCU
Molecule: transfer RNA, 58 nt
Filed under: Taenia pisiformis
Lineage: Eukaryota; Metazoa; Platyhelminthes; Cestoda; Cyclophyllidea; Taeniidae
Description: tRNA-Cys
Source: RNAcentral